RNAcentral lists this transfer RNA (71 nucleotides) under Cavia porcellus (domestic guinea pig). It matches the Rfam family "tRNA". From Rfam's summary of the family: Transfer RNA (tRNA) molecules are approximately 80 nucleotides in length. Lineage: Eukaryota; Metazoa; Chordata; Mammalia; Rodentia; Caviidae. The record is from Rfam by way of RNAcentral.
GGGCAUUUAGCUCAGCGGCAUAAGCACCUGCCUUGGAAGCAGGUAGGUGUGAGUUCGAUCCCCAGUACCGA